UACGGGGGGGGCAAGCGUUGUUCGGAAUUACUGGGCGUAAAGGGCUCGUAGGCGGCCAACUAAGUCAGACGUGAAAUCCCUCGGCUUAACCGGGGAACUGCGUCUGAUACUGGAUGGCUAGAGGUUGGGAGAGGGAUGCGGAAUUCCAGGUGUAGCGGUGGAAUGCGCAGAUAUCAGGAGGAACACCGGUGGCGAAGGCGGGAUCCUGGGCCAGUACUGACGCUGAGGAGCGAAAGCGUGGGGAGCAACAGG
RNAcentral lists this ribosomal RNA (252 nucleotides) under uncultured bacterium. Its description in RNAcentral is "partial 16S ribosomal RNA". It matches the Rfam family "Bacterial small subunit ribosomal RNA", at positions 524 to 775 of the family's 1533-position model. The record is from RNAcentral.